RNAcentral lists this ribosomal RNA (468 nucleotides) under uncultured bacterium. RNAcentral describes it as "partial 16S ribosomal RNA". It matches the Rfam family "Bacterial small subunit ribosomal RNA", at positions 28 to 507 of the family's 1533-position model. The record is from RNAcentral.
GACGAACGCUGGCGGCGUGCUUAACACAUGCCAGUCGAACGGAAAGGCCCUGCUUUUGUUGGGUGCUCGAGUGGCGAACGGGUGAGUAACACGUGAGUAACCUGCCCUUGACUUUGGGAUAACUUCAGGAAACUGGGGCUAAUACCGGAUAGGAGCUCCUGCUGCAUGGUGGGGGUUGGAAAGUUUCGGCGGUUGGGGAUGGACUCGCGGCUUAUCCGUUUGUUGGUGGGGUAGUGGAUUACCAAGGCUUUGACGGGUAGCCGGCCUGAGAGGGUGACCGGCCACAUUGGGACUGAGAUACGGCCCGGACUCCUACGGGAGGCAGCAGUGGGGAAUAGUGCACAAUGGGCGGAAGCCUGAUGCAGCAACGCCGCGUGCGGGAUGACGGCCUUCGGUUUGUAAACCGCUUUCGCCUGUGACGAAGCGUGAGUGACGGUAAUGGGUAAAGAAGCACCGGCUAACUACGUG